CGGGAACGUGGCUCCCCCGGGAGUGUUAUAGCCCGGCGCGCAAUGCCCCGCGGCGGACCGAGGUUCGCGCAUUCGCAAGGAUGCUGGCGUAAUGGUCACCAGUGACCCGUCUUGAAACACGGACCAAGGAGUCGUCCUCGUAUGCGAGUGUUCGGGUGUCAAACCCCUACGCGCAAUGAAAGUGAACGCAGGUGAGAGCCUCGGCGCAUCAUCGACCGAUCCUGAUGUUCUCGGAUGGAUUUGAGUAGGAGCAUACGGGGCCGGACCCGAAAGAAGGUGAACUAUGCCUGUGUAGGGUGAAGCCAGAGGAAACUCUGGUGGAGGCUCGCAGCGGUUCUGACGUGCAAAUCGAUCGUCAAACAUGGGCAUGGGGGCGAAAGACUAAUCGAACCUUCUAGUAGCUGGUUUCCGCCGAAGUUUCCCUCAGGAUAGCAGUGUUGAGCUCAGUUUUAUGAGGUAAAGCGAAUGAUUAGGGACCCGGGGGCGCUCUUUAGCCUUCAUCCAUUCUCAAACUUUAAAUAUGUAAGAAGCCCUUGUUACUUUGCUGAACGUGGGCAUUCGAAUGUAUCAACACUAGUGGGCCAUUUUUGGUAAGCAGAACUGGCGAUGCGGGAUGAACCGAACGCGAGGUUAAGGUGCCGGAGUGGACGCUCAUCAGACACCACAAAAGGCGUUAGUACAUCUUGACAGCAGGACGGUGGCCAUGGAAGUCGGAAUCCGCUAAGGACUGUGUAACAACUCACCUGCCGAAUGUACUAGCCCUGAAAAUGGAUGGCGCUCAAGCGUCCCACCCAUACCUCGCCCUCGGGGUAGGAACGACGCCCCGAGGAGUAGGCGGACGUGGGGGUCAGUGACGAAGCCUAGGGCGCGAGCCCCGUU
RNAcentral lists this ribosomal RNA (879 nucleotides) under Hirsutella sp. Its description in RNAcentral is "partial large subunit ribosomal RNA". It matches the Rfam family "Eukaryotic large subunit ribosomal RNA", at positions 543 to 1428 of the family's 3401-position model. Lineage: Eukaryota; Fungi; Ascomycota; Sordariomycetes; Hypocreales; Ophiocordycipitaceae. The record is from RNAcentral.